Non-coding RNA from Oryctolagus cuniculus (rabbit), 2217 nucleotides. The record is from RefSeq and is a predicted model, not a curated record. Lineage: Eukaryota; Metazoa; Chordata; Mammalia; Lagomorpha; Leporidae.
ACAGGCUGUCAUCCCAAGUGGCUGGCUUUUCUGUCCCCAGACUGAUCUGUUCCAUACUACAGUUGAUAGAUUGUUCCUAUUCCCUGACCCGACAUCUGUGCCUGGCUCUGAGAAUCCUUCUAAUCUCCUUUAUUAAGAUAACUCUGUGUAUGGCCUGACAUUCUGAAAUACCCACUUCUUCACCCUUACUCCAAUUUGAAGCACUACAUCCUGGAUCUUCUAUAUGUGUUGGUCUUUGAGAAGGUGGUUUUCCUAGAGCUUGAGUGCACAAAGAGUUAAGUUGUAGAGGACAAGCAGCCAGGUGGUGAAGCGAUGAGAGGUGUGUGUAUGAGACGCCUAUUUCAUAAGAAUGGCAUGAAAAAAAGGGAGAGGAAUGGGAUCAGACCUCUAGGGUCAAAUGACUAUGAGUGGUGACAGUAUCAGCUUCCAUUUACUGGAUUUCUUCAGACAACUCUGAGCGUAUUUCAUUACAUCCUUGCAGUUAACUCUUCAGAAUGUAUUUUACUAAUUGCAUUUUACAAAUGAGGAAAGUAAGGCUACAAACGUUUAAUUUAUUUAAGUCUUUGAGCUAAUAAUAUUAGAAUCAAGUUGUUUGUGAUUUUCCCAUUACUCCACUCCUCAGCCUGUGGUUACUACCAAUUUACUCUCUGGGACUCGGACUUUUUAGCUUCCACAUAUGCAUGAAAUCUUCUAGUAGUUAUCCUAUGCCUGGAUUAUUACACUUAACAUAAUAUAAUCAAGGCCCAUUCAUUUGCUGCAGGACUUCCUUUACAUAUAUUAUGAAGAAAAUAAUGAUAUAUAUGUAUACAUUAUACAUAAAUGUGAUAAAUAUCCAUUAUACAUAUGUGAUUUAUAUCCAUUAAAUAUAUAUACAUAUAAAUCCAUUCAUAUGUUGAUGAACACUUAGAAUUAUUCCAUAGCUUGGCUAUUGUAAAUAAUUCAUCAAUGAACAAGGGAGUACAGAUAGUUCUAUGGUUCUUUUACAUAGUAAUAUCACAUCCUUUGGAUAUAUAUAACUGGUAGUGCAAUGUAGUUCUAUUUCUCAUUUUUUAAAAGAUUAAUUUAUUUUUUGGAAGUCACAAUUACAGAGAGAGAGGGAGAGACAGAGGGAAAGAGGUCUUCCAUCCACUGUGUCACUCCACAAGUGGUCACAAUAGCCAGGGCUGACCCAGGAAGAAGCCAGGAGCCAGGAGCUUCAUCUGGGUUUCCCAGGUGGAUGGCAGAGACCCAAGUACUUUUGCCAUCUUCUCCUGAUUUUCCUAGCAAGGAACUGGGUCAGAAGUGGAGCAGUGAGGGCAUGAAACAGCACCCAUAAUGGUGCUGACAUCACAAGCAGCUAUGCCACAGUGCUACCCCCCACACCCUUUUGAGGAACCUACAUACUUUUUUUCUCAAUAGCUGUGUUAAUUUACAUUCCUACCAACAUCCUCACCAACAGUUGUAACCUCUGCCAUAUUGUUAGAAGCCUUCCAACAGGUGUCAAGUGAUAGCUCAUUGAUGUUUUAAUUUGCAUUUCCCUGAUGAUUAGUGAUAUUAAAUGUUCUUUUUUAAUGUAACUAUUAGCCAUUUGUGUGUCUUCUUUUGAGAAAUGUCUAUUUAGGUCUCUUACCCAUUUUUUUAAAUCAGAUUAUUUUCUUCUGACUCUUGAGUUCCAUAUAUAUAUUUUGGAUAUUAACCCCAUAUGAGAUAUGUGAAUUGUAACUAUAUUCUAUAGCUGCAUUUUUGUACCAGAGAUUGUUUCAUUUGUUUUUUCUUAAUUCUGGUGAUUGUGCAGAAUCAUUUAGGUUGAUGUAACCCUAUUUGUCUAUUUUUACAGAGCCAAGAUUUGUCUCAGGCCUGUGUCUUUUCCAGAGCUCAUAAACUGACAACAGAAGCCUGACAUGGUCAGGUGGCGAGAAAGACACAGCUGCGAGCCAACACCAAUGACCAAACUGCUGUGAGUGAGGCCGUCUUAAAACAUGCAAUCCCAGUCCAGUCACCAGAUGACGAUACCCCAUGAAUGGUGAGAGGCAAGACCAGCAGAAGAACUGCCCACCUGGACCAGUACAAUUUGCUGAACCAGAAUUGUCAGCAGCUCAGUUGAAGUUCUGCCUUCAGAAUGAAGUCUUCUCUGAACGUUCCAGUACAGAAGACCUAUUUUCUUCCCUCAUCAGCAUUUUCAAAGAUUAAACUAAGCAUUUGAAUGAAAUUAAAUAAUAAAAUAUAGUUUCCAUGUUA